This 329-nucleotide unclassified non-coding RNA is filed under the name soil metagenome. RNAcentral describes it as "partial contains 5.8S ribosomal RNA, internal transcribed spacer 2, and large subunit ribosomal RNA". The stretch from base 1 to 120 matches the Rfam family "5.8S ribosomal RNA", at positions 35 to 154 of the family's 154-position model. The record is from RNAcentral.
GAUGAAGAACGCAGCGAAAUGCGAUAAGUAAUGUGAAUUGCAGAAUUCAGUGAAUCAUCGAAUCUUUGAACGCACAUUGCGCCCCUUGGUAUUCCGAGGGGCAUGCCUGUUCGAGCGUCAUUAUAACCCUCAAGCUCAGCUUGGUGUUGGGGCCUGCUGCACUGGCAGCCCUUAAAAUCAGUGGCGGCGCCAUCUGGCUCUAAGCGUAGUAAUUCUUCUCGCUAUGGAGUCCUGGUGGAUGCUUGCCAUCAACCCCCAAUUUUUCUAUGGUUGACCUCGGAUCAGGUAGGGAUACCCGCUGAACUUAAGCAUAUCAAUAAGGCGGAGGA